UAAGACGUAGGGGGCUAGCGUUACCCGGAAUCACUGGGCGUAAAGGGCGUCUAGGCGGUUCGGCAAGUCGUCUGUGAAAGCCCCUGGCUCAACUGGGGGAGGUCGGGCGAUACUGCCGAGCUAGAGGGCGGCAGAGGAAGGUGGAACGGCCGGAGUAGCGGUGAAAUGCGUAGAUACCGGCCGGUAUCCCGAUGGCGAAGGCAACCUUCUGGGCCGUUCCUGACGCUGAAGCGCGAAAGCGUGGGGAGCGAACCGGAUUAGAUACCCGGGUAGUCCACGCCCUAAACGAUGUGGGCUAGGUGUUGGCCGGUCAUUCGGUCGGUGCCGCAGCUAACGCGUUAAGCCCACCGCCUGGGGAGUACGGCCGCAAGGCUG
RNAcentral lists this ribosomal RNA (375 nucleotides) under uncultured bacterium. RNAcentral's name for it is "bacterial SSU rRNA". It matches the Rfam family "Bacterial small subunit ribosomal RNA", at positions 521 to 896 of the family's 1533-position model. The record is from RNAcentral.